AUCGAAGCAGAUAAUGAAAUUCAGCUCAGUUCAUUUCGAAGUUAAAAACUACCCAUUUCAGAUAUCUCGCUCUCCUACUCAAUAAAGUUUCCACAAUUUCUCACUUCCCCAACUCAUAUAAAAACACAAAACUAAAAAUAAUAAAUCAGAAAAAUAAAUAUGUCCCCCAUAUCUGCCUCUAAAUUCUUCAGCAUUAGCACCAGUGAUGUCUUCUAUUCUACUGCAACUCUUCCGAAUCUCCCCAAAGUUCCAACCUUUUACCCUACCCUUUUCCCAAAACUCCCUCCACGGCCCCACCUCCUCACCCAAUCUUCAAGAAAGACCUUGACUUUGGUUUCCUCGAAGUCAUCCAACGAAGCAGAGGAGCUCUCUUCAGUAGGCCCAGAGGACGAGUGGCUGAAGAAGCUUCCGGACAAGAAGAAGCCCCUUUACUCUCACAGCCUGCCCUGUAUUGAGGCCUGGUUGAGGAGCUUGGGGUUUUACCAGAGCAAAGAUGACCGGGCCGUUUGGCUUGUGGAGAAGCCGGAGUGGCACGCCCAGCUCUCACUAGAUGUCACUGACCUAUAUAUAAGAUAUCUGAAGAGCGGACCUGGGAAUCUUGAAAAGGAUGUUGAGAGGAGAUUUAGUUAUGCAUUGAGUAGAGAGGAUAUUGAGAAUGCCGUGCUUGGAGGACCUUAACUACAAUAUUGAUUAAUCUUGCCAUCAUAUUGUUUAUCUGCUUAAUUUAUUGAUGGUUUUGAAUGGAUGCUGAUUUGUCCAAAAUAGGGGGAAAGAAAUAGAGCCGGCCAAUAGCUAGCUGAUACGCCUGCAGUGAAGCUCUAAAGUAUUUUCUUGCUUGUGAACGAGAAUUCCUAAGUGAUUCGAUGCAUGCAAAAAUUUUAAGUUUAUGACUAUGGACAUACCUCAAUAGGCCUAAGACCAGUUUCUUUCUCCUUCACUUG
Alnus glutinosa is the source of this 941-nucleotide RNA transcript. RefSeq lists it as uncharacterized. Lineage: Eukaryota; Viridiplantae; Streptophyta; Magnoliopsida; Fagales; Betulaceae. The transcript is spliced from 3 exons. The record is from RefSeq and is a predicted model, not a curated record.